This 195-nucleotide microRNA precursor is filed under the name Oryza nivara. RNAcentral's name for it is "MIR812 microRNA precursor family". It matches the Rfam family "MIR812 microRNA precursor family". The record is from Rfam by way of RNAcentral. Lineage: Eukaryota; Viridiplantae; Streptophyta; Magnoliopsida; Poales; Poaceae.
AAAAAGGCAAACCCUGGGUUUGUGUGUCCAACUUUGACUGUCCGUCUUAUAUAAUUUUUUUUAUAAUUCGUAUUUUUAUUGUUGUUAGAUGAUAAAACAUGAUUAAUACUUUGUGCGUGACUUAUCUUUUUAAUUUUUUUCAUUAUUUUUUUAAAUAAGACGGACGGUCAAACAUUGGGCACGGAAACCAGGGUU